This is a small nuclear RNA of Suncus etruscus (white-toothed pygmy shrew), 108 nucleotides long. The record is from RefSeq and is a predicted model, not a curated record. NCBI's taxonomy places the organism in Eukaryota, Metazoa, Chordata, Mammalia, Eulipotyphla, Soricidae.
GUGCUCGCUUUGCCAGCACAUAUAAUAAAUUGAAAUGAGACAGAGAAGAUUAGCAUGGCCUCUGAGCAAGGAUUAUACUCAAAUAGACAAAAAUCAGAAAAAAAUUAU